This 693-nucleotide ribosomal RNA is filed under the name uncultured organism. RNAcentral describes it as "bacterial SSU rRNA". It matches the Rfam family "Bacterial small subunit ribosomal RNA", at positions 71 to 781 of the family's 1533-position model. The record is from RNAcentral.
UGAGGCCCUACGGGGGUACAUCAGUGGCAGACGGGUGAGUAACACGUAGGUAACCUGCCCUCGAGACGGGGAUAGCGGCUGGAAACGGUCGCUAAGACCCGAUAUAGUCUGACCUUCGGGAGAAGGUGAGAGGAAAGGCUUCGGUGCUCGGGGAGGGGCCUGCGGNCCAUCAGCUAGUUGGAGAGGUAACGGCUCCCCAAGGCAAUGACGGGUAGGGGGUGUGAGAGCAUGGCCCCCCACACUGGGACUGAGACACGGCCCAGACUCCUACGGGAGGCAGCAGCAGGGAAUAUUGCGCAAUGGACGGAAGUCUGACGCAGCGACGCCGCGUGGAUGAUGAAGGCCUUCGGGUUGUAAAAUCCUUUUCCGGGCGAUGAGGAAGGACACUAGCCUGGGAAUAAGCGUCGGCUAACUACGUGCCAGCAGCCGCGGUAAGACGUAGGACGCGAGCGUUAUCCGGAUUUACUGGGCGUAAAGCGCCUGCAGGCGGUCAGGUAAGUCGGUUGUGAAAGCCCCGUGCUCAACGCGGGGAGGCCAAGCGAUACUGCGUGACUUGAGGGCGGAAGAGGGGAGUGGAAUUCCCGGUGUAGCGGUAAAAUGCGCAGAUAUCGGGAGGAACACCAGUGGCGAAGGCGGCUCCCUGGACCGCACCUGACGCUCAGAGGCGAAAGCUAGGGGAGCGAACAGGAUUAG